RNAcentral lists this ribosomal RNA (710 nucleotides) under uncultured Bacillota bacterium. RNAcentral's name for it is "bacterial SSU rRNA". It matches the Rfam family "Bacterial small subunit ribosomal RNA", at positions 8 to 715 of the family's 1533-position model. Lineage: Bacteria; Bacillati; Bacillota. The record is from RNAcentral.
AGAGUUUGAUCAUGGCUCAGGAUGAACGCUGGCGGCGUGCCUAACACAUGCAAGUCGAGCGCGAUUAAGUGGAGUGCGAACUUCGGUUCAAGUGAAGCUUAUGAAAGCGGCGGACGGGUGAGUAACGCGUGGGUAACCUGCCCCAUACAAAGGGAUAGCCACUGGAAACGGUGAUUAAUACCUUAUAAGUCGGUAGUCUCGCAUGAGACAGCUGACAAAGAUUUAUCGGUAUGGGAUGGACCCGCGUCUGAUUAGCCAGUUGGUGAGGUAACGGCUCACCAAGGCGACGAUCAGUAGCCGACCUGAGAGGGUGAUCGGCCACACUGGAACUGAGACACGGUCCAGACUCCUACGGGAGGCAGCAGUGGGGAAUAUUGCACAAUGGGCGCAAGCCUGAUGCAGCAACGCCGCGUGAGUGAAGAAGGCCUUCGGGUUGUAAAACUCUGUCCUAUGGGAAGAAAAAAAUGACGGUACCAUAGGAGGAAGCCCCGGCUAACUACGUGCCAGCAGCCGCGGUAAUACGUAGGGGGCAAGCGUUAUCCGGAAUCACUGGGCGUAAAGGGUGCGUAGGUGGCUUAUCAAGCCAGGGGUGAAAGGCAUUGGCUCAACCAAUGUAAGCCUUUGGAACUGAUAGGCUUGAGUGCAGGAGAGGUAAGUGGAAUUCCUAGUGUAGAGGUGAAAUUCGUAGAUAUUAGGAGGAAACACAGUGG